UCCAAAGGUCAGAACUGAGGGGAAGAGAAUAGGAUAAGAUAGGAUCUGUAUUCUGUCUUCUGUCCUCUGAGUUCUGGUCUCUGGAUAGUGGCGGACGGGUGAGUAACGCGUGAGCAACCUGCCUUUCAGAGGGGGAUAACGUCCGGAAACGGACGCUAAUACCGCAUAAGAUCAUAGGACGACAUCGUCCAGUGAUCAAAGGAGCAAUCCGCUGAAAGAUGGGCUCGCGUCCGAUUAGCUAGAUGGCGGGGUAAAGGCCCACCAUGGCGACGAUCGGUAGCCGGAUUGAGAGGUUGAACGGCCACAUUGGGACUGAGACACGGCCCAGACUCCUACGGGAGGCAGCAGUGGGGGAUAUUGCACAAUGGGGGAAACCCUGAUGCAGCAACGCCGCGUGAGGGAAGAAGGUCUUCGGAUUGUAAACCUUUGUCUUUGGUGAAGAAAAAAAUGACGGUAGCCAAGGAGGAAGCUCCGGCUAACUACGUGCCAGCAGCCGCGGUAAUACGUAGGGAGCGAGCGUUGUCCGGAAUUACUGGGUGUAAAGGGUGCGCAGGCGGGAAAGCAAGUCAGCUGUGAAAAGUGUGGGCUCAACCCACAUCGUGCAGUUGAAACUGUUUUUCUUGAGUGAAGCAGAGGCAGGCGGAAUUCCGAGUGUAGCGGUGAAAUGCGUAGAUAUUCGGAGGAACACCAGUGGCGAAGGCGGCCUGCUGGGCUUUAACUGACGCUGAGGCACGAAAGCAUGGGGAGCAAACAGGAUUAGAUACCCUGGUAGUCCAUGCUGUAAACGAUGAUUGCUAGGUGUGGGGGGACUGACCCCCUCCGUGCCGGAGUUAACACAAUAAGCAAUCCACCUGGGGAGUACGAUCGCAAGGUUGGAAACUCAAAGGAAUUGACGGGGGGCCCGCACAAGCAGUGGAGUAUGUGGGUUUAAUUCGAAGCACGGCGAAGACC
Molecule: ribosomal RNA, 951 nt
Filed under: uncultured bacterium
Lineage: Bacteria
Description: bacterial SSU rRNA
Rfam family: Bacterial small subunit ribosomal RNA
Source: RNAcentral